RNAcentral lists this ribosomal RNA (501 nucleotides) under uncultured organism. RNAcentral's name for it is "SSU rRNA". It matches the Rfam family "Bacterial small subunit ribosomal RNA", at positions 16 to 509 of the family's 1533-position model. The record is from RNAcentral.
AUCCUGGCUCAGGAUGAACGCUAGCGGCAGGCUUAACACAUGCAAGUCGAGGGGCAGCAGUCUGUAGCAAUACGGAGCUGGCGACCGGCGCAAGGGUGCGUAACGCGUGAGCAACUUGCCCGUAACAGGAGGAUAACCGGAGGAAACUCCGACUAAUACUGCGUAGCAAUACCCGGUGGCAUCGCCGGGUGUUUAAAGGCGAAAGCCGGUUACGGAUAGGCUCGCGUGACAUUAGCUGGAUGGCGGGGUAACGGCCCACCAUGGCGACGAUGUCUAGGGGUUCUGAGAGGAAGGUCCCCCACACUGGUACUGAGACACGGACCAGACUCCUACGGGAGGCAGCAGUGAGGAAUAUUGGACAAUGGUCGGAAGACUGAUCCAGCCAUGCCGCGUGAAGGUUAAGGUCCUAUGGAUUGUAAACUUCUUUUGUACGAGAGGAAUAAGGGUGACGAGUCAUCCGAGGACAGUAUCGUACGAAUAAGCAUCGGCUAACUCCGUGCC